RNAcentral lists this ribosomal RNA (497 nucleotides) under uncultured bacterium. RNAcentral describes it as "partial 16S ribosomal RNA". It matches the Rfam family "Bacterial small subunit ribosomal RNA", at positions 28 to 507 of the family's 1533-position model. The record is from RNAcentral.
GAUGAACGCUGGCGGCGUGCCUAAUACAUGUAAGUCGAGCGAACGGACGAGAAGCUUGCUUUUCUGAUGUUAGCGGCGGACGGGUGAGUAACACGUGGAUAACCUACCUAUAAGACUGGGAUAACUUCGGGAAACCGGAGCUAAUACCGUAUAAUAUUUUGAACCGCAUGGUUCAAAAGUGAAAGACGGUCUUGCUGUCACUUAUAGAUGGAUCCGCGCUGCAUUAGCUAGUUGGUAAGGUAACGGCUUACCAAGGCAACGAUGCAUAGCCGACCUGAGAGGGUGAUCGGCCACACUGGAACUGAGACACGGUCCAGACUCCUACGGGAGGCAGCAGUAGGGAAUCUUCCGCAAUGGGCGAAAGCCUGACGGAGCAACGCCGCGUGAGUGAUGAAGGUCUUCGGAUCGUAAAACUCUGUUAUUAGGGAAGAACAUAUGUGUAAGUAACUGUGCACAUCUUGACGGUACCUAAUCAGAAAGCCACGGCUAACUACGUG